This 301-nucleotide ribosomal RNA is filed under the name uncultured bacterium. Its description in RNAcentral is "partial 16S ribosomal RNA". It matches the Rfam family "Bacterial small subunit ribosomal RNA", at positions 509 to 807 of the family's 1533-position model. The record is from RNAcentral.
CAGUAGCCGCGGGAAAACGAAGGGGGCUAGCGUUGUUCGGAUUUACUGGGCGUAAAGCGCACGUAGGCGGAUUCUUAAGUCAGAGGUGAAAUCCCAAGGCUCAACCUUGGAACUGCCUUUGAUACUGGGGAUCUCGAGUCCGGGAGAGGUGAGUGGAACUGCGAGUGUAGAGGUGAAAUUCGUAGAUAUUCGCAAGAACACCAGUGGCGAAGGCGGCUCACUGGACAAUAACUGACGCUGAUGCACGAAAGCUAGGGGAGCAAACAGGAUUAGAUACCCCAGUAGUCCCUGUCUCUUAUAC